UACGGGGGGAGCAAGCGUUGUUCGGAUUUACUGGGCGUAAGGGGAGCGUAGGCGGGUCGUCAAGUUGGGGGUGAAAGCCCAGGGCUCAACCUUGGAAUUGCCUUCAAAACUGACGAUCUAGAGUAUGGAAGAGGUAAGUGGAACUCCGAGUGUAGAGGUGAAAUUCGUAGAUAUUCGGAAGAACACCAGUGGCGAAGGCGACUUACUGGUCCAUGACUGACGCUGAGGCUCGAAAGCGUGGGGAGCAAACAGG
Molecule: ribosomal RNA, 253 nt
Filed under: uncultured bacterium
Lineage: Bacteria
Description: partial 16S ribosomal RNA
Rfam family: Bacterial small subunit ribosomal RNA
Source: RNAcentral